GGAAAUCUGUGUAUCUAACGGUUGGGUUUAUAACGCCACUUGCACCAGAGCUCUCAACUCACAGGUUCGGUGGAGAAUCUGGAAAAGUAACUCUGACAUUAUUUCCAGAAAGUGUACCCGCGGGAUGGCAGAAGAAGGCCAUCACCACCUCCUGCUGCUACUGCUGCUGCUGGGAUGUGUGUGUGUCGGCCAAGCGUAUAUCACAGUGACUACGAACCUAGGUACAACGAGCGUCAGACGCAGCAACUACCAAACGACGCAGAAAUUAUUCGAGAUCACAGUAGACACCAACGCCUCAAGUUUUCUGUGUGAAGGUUCCUCUGGUUUAUUCAACACCAAGAGGCUCGACCCCGACACCAACUUCUGGAUAUACUUCGAUCCCUCGAAUACUCCCGCGGAGUUAACAGGAGACGAAUACACCGUCAACGGCAACUGCUCCACCGCUGAACCAAACUACGACUCCUUCUCCAUCAAGGUGAACGUCAUCAACAACGAGGCCCCAGUGGUAACCAAUGGACCACUAGUGACUAUAUCGGUACAAGUUACUACAACCAUUGGUCAGAUUAUCGGGACUGUGGUGGCCACGGACAACGACGGCGAUCUGCUGACCUUUAAUGUCCCUACGCAACCGGUCGGGUUCAAUAUGGAUAAUGGUGGACUAAUCAGUACCACUAAAAACAUGGCGGAACUGGACUCAAUAUCAACGUUGAUUUCUGCAUCUGUCAGCGACGCAACUCACACCACAAACUUCCAAGUCAGGAUUAGGCUAGAUAAGUUGAACACGAAGCCGGUGGACAACACGAUCCCCGCCACGAGGGACGUGCAGGAAGAUGCCGUGAGCGGCGUCAUCCACACCUUCAACGUCCCGGACACUACCUUGUUCAACGCUCUCAUCACCACCCUCACCGUCUCCCCUUCCUCCGGCGACGGAAAGUUCAAGAUUGAAAGCAACCAGAUUCAGGUCGUUGGGCCAUUUGACUUCAAUGCCGUCCCCACCUACACCCUGACGGUCCGCCUCAACGACGGCUUUAAGAGCAACAGCUACAACAUCAACGUCAAUAUCAUCGACGCCAACGACCCCCCAGCAUGUACCAGAACAAGCUACAUCGUUUCUGCCAACGAAAACACGAUGUCCCCAAUACCUAUCAGUGGGUUUGGCAUCACAGACGCUAGCGGACAGACCCACACCCUCGCCCUCUCAAACAACUACUUCAGCGUAUCUCAGAAUUCAGGUUCGACUGAAAUAAGGCCAAACGUCGCCCUUGACUGCGAAUCAAAUACGCCCAUUCCAAACCCCGUGACCAUCAAUAUCACCGUCACGGACAACUUCGGUGCCUCUGGCACAUGUGCAGUCACUAUUCAGUGCAACGACACGAACGACAACAGCCCCGAGUUUGUAACAUCCACGUACAGCUUCCUGGUGGCGACCGACAUGGCAAUCGGGACGUCUAUCGGCAAGGUCAGUGCUACUGACAAGGACGUUACCACCACGACUAACGGUAAGGUGGUCUACAGUCUGCAGCUGUCAAACCCAGUAGAAAUUGUAAAGGUGCUUCCGAACGGGGACGUUUUGAUCAACAAAGACAUCUCCGGCAUGUACAGCAACUCCGUGUCCGGGGAGAUACUGGCCACAGAUCAAGGGGCUGGAGCUAACCAGGGCACUGCGACGUUCUUGUUCAAAUGGAACGAGGCUCCUGAUAUCAGUAAUCUCCCGGACUCGGGUAGUCUAUCGGAAGACACGACUGGGGAGUCGCUCAUCUUGGAACUCACCACAACUGACCCGGAAACAGACGCCGUCACGUGUCGCUCAGGCACUAUCAGCCUGCCCGGGGCUCCUUUCACAGUGAAGCUCGUCUCUGGCAAAUUUGGUAUUUACUACACUGGAAAUGCGCCGCUUAGUUCACUUCCGGUAAAAAACAUUCAGAUCGGGGUUAUUUGCGAAGAUGGAAAAGGUGGCUCCAUUGAAAAGAACUAUGACCUUCAACUCAAUCCCAACGAAAGACCACAAGCAUCAUGCUCACCGACUGCGACGACGCAAAUUAGCGCCAAAUCCAUCAAAACGAACGACAUCGUAUACACCAUUCCCGUAACGGACAAGGAGAACAAUCCUAUAUCUGUUAUAUCCGUGUGUGAUCCGGAAUUGGGACUGUUCGUUUAUGACUCUGCCACUGUGGCGUUGAAGGCGACGACAUCAUUUCAUGGUGUGACCAAAUCCAGCAUCACCUGCACACUGCGCAUCAGCGACGGCAAACACCCGCCAAUGGAUGAUGUCACCUGCUUUGUCACUAUCACCAUCACAGACCUGAACCAAGCCCCGACAAUAGACAACGACAAGCAGGUGGUGAGGCACAGCGAGCUGACCAAGCCAGGCCUCGAACUCUUUAAGUUCGACAUCACCGACGACGACAAGGUCGAAAUUUCCUACGAAGUAAACCCUGUCGCAUACGCUUCAUAUUUCACAGUCAACUCUACUUCUGGAUCCGUAACAUUAUUGAAGGACCUGGAUUUUGAGACACUGCCAAAAACAUACAUCAUCACCAUCGUCGCUGACGACAGCGUCCUCAAAGCAACGGGGACGGUAACAAUCGAGGUCACAGACGACAACGAUCCCCCGGUUUUUGAUAAGAAUAAGUACAUUGUGUCUCUCAAAGAAGGGGAGGCCCUGGCAUCCAGCGUCGACUUAGGUUUAAAGGUGACAGACACAGACACGGGGGACACGCACUCCUUCCGCGUCCUUGCUCCUUACAGCAGCACCUUCACCAUCGAUGGAACUACACUCAAGAACCUGGUGCCGAUUGACCUGGACGCGGCCGGUUCCCAAACAACUUACGAUAUAGUGGUUGAGGCUGAUGAUAAGAAUGGGGGUCUUGCGACAACCAACGUGAGCAUCAUUCUUCAACAAAUCAACGACAACACCCCCUACUUUGACGCCAACCCUUUUAGCAACUGCGUUAUCGGACUGGCGUUACCAAUUUCGACUGAAAUAUGCUCUGGCACUGCUAAAGACGAUGAUGACGACCUCCAGGACAAGACGUUGACAUACUCUAUUGGCGCCUCAAGCCAUCCUGGAGUGUUCAAGAUGGUCGGGAACGGCAUCUUCCUGCAGGAGGCCCUGCAGCAAUCCUACUACGGGCAGCUGAUGAGUGUAGAGGUCAUCGCCACAGAUGCCGGAACCGACCCCGGGACUCUCGCCGGCUCAGUCAAUGUCGCCUUCGAAUGGAACAAGGCGCCCACCUGUACAGCUCCCACGGGACUCCAGCUACCGGAGGACGCCACAUCUAAGGACAUCCCAGGGUCGGACAUCACAGCAACAGACCCUGAGCCGGCCGACACCGUCACCAUCGCCAUGGCGUGCUCACCAGGCACCACCGAGUUCGCUGUACAAAACAAGAAGGUCCACUAUUCCGGGUCCCCCACCCUGUCCUUCAAGAACACCCCCUCCUACACGUGUGUUCUGACAUGCACCGAUGGAAAUGGAGGAAAGGACGAGAGGAAUUUCACAAUCACAAUCACUAAGAACAAACCGCCUAAUCCAUCUUGUAGUGCAAUGACCAAGCCGAUAGCAGAUGCGAAAGCGGUGAGCAAAGGCGACCACAUUUUGACGUUCCCUAGCGACGACCCCGAGAAAGACGACAUCACCUACUCCAUUCUGAUGAGUCCCGCGUCCUCACUGUUCCAGGUCAAUCCAGACACCGGGGAACUGACGGCUAGUGCAGAUCUGAAAAACCAGAAGGCUGAUUUCGUAGAGAUCACGGCAACACUGAGUGACCCUUUUGAGAAUACGGCCGUGUGCAAAGUUUCCAUCACCAUAAACAAUGUUAACAAGAAGCCAGUGCUGACCCAGACGAAUACCAAAGUGUUCGCCAAAGAGGACGCAGCGCCCGGAGUCGAGAUAUUCAAACUGACCAUCACUGACGAAGACACCCACGCGACUGGCUAUUCGACCACGAUCAAAACCCUCCCUGAAGAGGCGGCCGCCAACUUUGAGGCUGUGGUGACCGACAAGGUUGUCUCAAUCAAACUACGUGCUGGCAGAGAGCUGGACUACGAGACGUUAAACAAGUACACAUUUUUUGUCAGCGUCAAUGACGGCUGUUGGACGUCUGACGACAUCGUCACAUACUUGGACAUCGAUGAUGUCAAUGAGGCUCCGGGCAUUGUCAACGGGUUGAAAUAUUCGGCUGAGUUUAAAGAGGACCAAGUGAACCAGUGUGUCAAAUUAGGCUGCGGUGGUUUCGACCCAGACUUCGGCGACGUUGAAAAGUGGAAGUGGACGAUCACUGAUCCGGCCAAGUACAAGGACUCGUUCACCAUCAGUGGCGCCGACUGUACUCUGUGUCUCAGGGCAGCGAUCGAGCUGGACCCUGAACUGAGAGACAAGAAGGCAGACAAGGAACUGAUUGAUCUGAAGGUCGAGUUCGUAGAUAAGGGCGACCUUCCCACAGAAAAGGUCAAGUUUGACGUCGCCGUGACAGUGUUGGAGGUGAACGACAACGACCCCAUAUUCGAGAUGCCAAGUUACUUUGGCCAAGUGUUUAACACAGAUUUAGAAGGGAAGGAGAUCAUCGCCAUGGUAGCUGACGACCUGGACGCGCUCACGAACGGGAUGUUCACAUGUAGAGCCAAGCAGUGCGAUGCCGCCCUGGACGGAUAUAUCACCGUUGGUGCCGACUGCAAGGUCCGACUGUCCAGCUCAAUGGCUACUGGGUUUGUUGGAGGGCAGAACUUCAAGUGUGACGUUGAAGUCAUUGACAAUGGGAAUCCUCAAAGGAAGAGUGAAACUAAGCUGGACCUGCAAUACGUACUUGUAACCACCCUGCCACCACCACCAACCGAGACACCAGAUCCUAAUGCAAAUGCAAAUGCUAACGCAAAUGCCAAUGCUAACGCUAACGGUAACGCUAAUGCAAAUGGCAACAUAGCAGGUGGGGCCAAUGGAGCCCUCAACUUAUUGUCCAACUCGGCAAAUUCCGGUUCAGGCUCCAAUGGCUUCUCCUCGCUGAGCCCGGGAGCCAUGGCGGGAUUGAUCUGUGGAGCCGUGGCUAUAGGUGGCGCUCUGACGGCGGCGGCCGUUGUAGGCGGGAUCCAGGCCAAGAAGCGAUGUGCGGCCAGGAACCGGAACAAGCCGAACACACGGAGAUACAAUGUCAACUCGCGUGAGUCAACGAUCAAGAAUAACCGUGUCAGCACAACCUCCAGUGUCAAACUCAACAUGCUGAAUGAUCCCGGUGUUGGGAAAACACAGAUCACGCCUGUCUACUACCGCUAGCCACACGUUACUGUCACCGUUACACACGGAUGUCCAUGUGUUGUCAACAGUCUGUAGAACUAUAUAGUCAUCCCCAUGUUACUCUAUGUAAAUGCAGUAAGUGCAGUUGUCUAUAACAAUUAAUAAUCCCAUUUUAGGAUGGAGUAAUCAUCCUUGCAUUCCGUACGAUCCUUUGUAUUCUCCACAAUUAUCAAGGUAGUUUCAAAACUGGUAAUUAGUUACUUGUAUCAUGCAUCUGUAUGGCAUGUCUUCCCUGAUGCUAUAUACCCACGGAAACCCCUUCAACGUGCCUAUCCUCGUGUAAAGGUGAUGGAAUAGAGUUUCCAUAUUUAUAAAUCGGGAUGUUUUCAGAAAUAAGUUCCAUGGGACGUGUUGAAUAUAUUCUCUUGUGUUAUGUGCACUGAAGCCAUUGAAUAUCAUCCAGGCCCUGUCUAGGAAGUAUAUCAACCAGGCCCUGUCUAGCAAAUAUCAUUCAGGCCCUGUCUUCGACGUAUAUCAUGAACACUGUCUAGGAAGUAUAUCAUCCAGGCUCUGUCUUCGACGUAUAUCAUCCAGACUGUCUAGAAAGUAUAUCAUCCAGACUGAAAGUAUAUCAUCCAGGCUCUGUCUAGGAAGUACAUCAUCCAGGGUCUGUCUAGCAAAUAUCAUUCAGGCCCUGUCUUCGACGUAUGUCAUGAAAACUGUCUAGGAAGUAUAUCAUCCAGACUGUCUAGGAAGUACAUCAUCCAGGCUCUGUCUUCGACGUAUAUCAUGAAGACUGUCUAGGAAGUAUAUCAUCCAGACUGUCUAGGACGUAUAUCACCAGGCUCUGCCCAGGACGCAUAUCAUCCAGGCUCUGGCCUAGGAAGUAUAUCAUCCAGGCUCUGUCUAGGAAGUAUAUCAUCCAGACUGUCUAGCAAAUAUCAUCCAGGCUCUGUUUUCGACGUAUAUCAUGAAGACUGUCUAGGAAGUAUAUCAUCCAGAUUGUCUAGGAAGUAUAUCAUCCAGGCUCUGUCUUCGACGUAUAUCAUGAAGACUGUCUAGGAAGUAUAUCAUCCAGACUGUCUAGGACGUAUAUCAUCCAGGCUCUGCCCAGGACGCAUAUCAUCCAGGCUCUGGCCUAGGAAGUAUAUCAUCCAGGCUCUGUCUAGGAAGUAUAUCAUCCAGACUGUCUAGCAAAUAUCAUCCAGGCUCUGUUUUCGACGUAUAUCAUGAAGACUGUCUAGGAAGUAUAUCAUCCAGACUGUCUAGGAAGUAUAUCAUCCAGGCUCUGUCUUCGACGUAUAUCAUUAAGACUGUCUAGGAAGUAUAUCAUCCAGACUGUCUAGGACGUAUAUCAUCCAGGCUCUGUCCAGGACGCAUAUCAUCCAGGCUCUGGCCUAGGAAGUAUAUCAUCCAGGCUGUCUAGGAAGUAUAUCAUCUAGGCUCUGUCUUCGACGCAUAUCAUCCAGGCUCUGGCCUAGGGUGUAUAUCAUCAAGGCUCUGUCUUCGACGCAUAUCAUCCAGGCUCUGGCCUAGGAAGUAUAUCAUCCAGGCUCUGUCUUCGACGUAUAUCAUCCAGACUGUCUAGACAGUAUAUCAUCCAGACAGGCAUGGUGGCGAUAGGCAGGUAGAGACACACGUCCUUGGAGGUAUGGUGGCGAUAGGCAGGUAGAGACACACGUCCUUGGAGGUAUGGUGGCGAUAGGCAGGUAGAGACACACGUCCUUGGAGGUAUGGUGGCGAUAGGCAGGUAGAGACACACGUCCUUGGAGGUAUGGUGGCGAUAGGCAGGUAGAGACACACGUCCUUGGAGGUAUGGUGGCGAUAGGCAGGUAGAGAUGAGGGGUGUUUCAAUAGGUUGCGGUCGAAGCAAGACGAUGAAGGGAGUGCGAAGAUAUUCGUUUGGUUUGAUGAAUGUUUUCUAUUAUGUUCUGUUAAUUACUGUGCUUUCACGUUGGCUUAAUGAAGUGAAUGCUCCAUUUAGUCAUUGAAUGUUAAACCUUCACACACAAUUUGGUUUAAAGAAAUGCAUGCACUUCGCAACCCUUUUGAAAUAGUAUCGAACUUUUAAAAUAUAGCACUGUAUGUAUACAGAUACAUGAUUCAAUUUAUUAUUAUGUAUCAUAUGAGAGUGUUAGCUACUUCUGAAAUGUGCCAAAUGUGUAGAUGACUGUGAUAUCUGUAUUUAUGUAUUUAUGUUGUAUUUUACUUUCUGUUUAAAUAAAUGCAUGGCAAUUAG
RNAcentral lists this unclassified non-coding RNA (7469 nucleotides) under Haliotis rufescens (red abalone). RNAcentral describes it as "cadherin-23-like, transcript variant X1". The record is from RNAcentral. Lineage: Eukaryota; Metazoa; Mollusca; Gastropoda; Lepetellida; Haliotidae.